Molecule: ribosomal RNA, 253 nt
Filed under: uncultured microorganism
Description: partial 16S ribosomal RNA
Rfam family: Bacterial small subunit ribosomal RNA
Source: RNAcentral
UACGUAGGGUGCGAGCGUUAAUCGGAUUUACUGGGCGUAAAGCGUGCGCAGGCGGCCCUUUAAGACAGGUGUGAAAUCCCUGGGCUCAACCUAGGAAUUGCGCUUGUGACUGGCGGGCUAGAGUAGGGUAGAGGGGGGUGGAAUUCCUGGUGUAGCAGUGAAAUGCGUAGAGAUCAGGAGGAACACCGAUGGCGAAGGCAGCCCCCUGGGCCUGUACUGACGCUCAUGCACGAAAGCGUGGGGAGCAAACAGG